CGAACGAGUUCUCGUUGAUGAUCGGUGCUUGCACCGAGAUUCAACAUGGAACGAGUGGCGGACGGGUGAGUAACACGUGGGUAACCUGCCCUUAAGUGGGGGAUAACAUUUGGAAACAGAUGCUAAUACCGCAUAGAUCCAAGAACCGCAUGGUUCUUGGCUGAAAGAUGGCGUAAGCUAUCGCUUUUGGAUGGACCCGCGGCGUAUUAGCUAGUUGGUGAGGUAAUGGCUCACCAAGGCGAUGAUACGUAGCCGAACUGAGAGGUUGAUCGGCCACAUUGGGACUGAGACACGGCCCAAACUCCUACGGGAGGCAGCAGUAGGGAAUCUUCCACAAUGGACGCAAGUCUGAUGGAGCAACGCCGCGUGAGUGAAGAAGGCUUUCGGGUCGUAAAACUCUGUUGUUGGAGAAGAAUGGUCGGCAGAGUAACUGUUGUCGGCGUGACGGUAUCCAACCAGAAAGCCACGGCUAACUACGUGCCAGCAGCCGCGGUAAUACGUAGGUGGCAAGCGUUAUCCGGAUUUAUUGGGCGUAAAGCGAGCGCAGGCGGUUUUUUAAGUCUGAUGUGAAAGCCCUCGGCUUAACCGAGGAAGCGCAUCGGAAACUGGGAAACUUGAGUGCAGAAGAGGACAGUGGAACUCCAUGUGUAGCGGUGAAAUGCGUAGAUAUAUGGAAGAACACCAGUGGCGAAGGCGGCUGUCUGGUCUGUAACUGACGCUGAGGCUCGAAAGCAUGGGUAGCGA
Molecule: ribosomal RNA, 744 nt
Filed under: uncultured bacterium
Lineage: Bacteria
Description: bacterial SSU rRNA
Rfam family: Bacterial small subunit ribosomal RNA
Source: RNAcentral